Long non-coding RNA from Gigantopelta aegis, 624 nucleotides. RefSeq lists it as uncharacterized. The record is from RefSeq and is a predicted model, not a curated record. Lineage: Eukaryota; Metazoa; Mollusca; Gastropoda; Neomphalida; Peltospiridae. The transcript is spliced from 3 exons.
CCGAUAGGAAGUUUUGAAUCUAGUUCUUUCAAACACAUAGGACGAGAAGUUUUUCUCAGCUGGUGUCCGAUAGUGACGAGCUUGGAUUGAAUAACGUUUGGGACCAGCAGUCAUUUAAAUCAGUGGAGUGGUUAAAAAGAGUUGUGAAGAGAAGACUGUCUGAUCAGUAUCUACAAACAAUGGAGAAAUGACAUCUUUACGACCAGCAAAGGAACUACUUAUAGAAUAUUUAUAGAGAAAUUGGAACUAGAAUCAUAUUUUAACAUUCUGGAUAAAACAAUGUGCACAACAUUUUUUCGAUUUAGAAUUUAAAAUCACUUUUUACCAGUUGAAAAGGGGAGGUGGACAACUAUUUUAUAUGAAAAUAGAAACUGUACGCUUUGUAAUAGCAAUAUUGUUGGAGAUGAUUUUCAUUAUUAGUUAUAUGCAAAAAAUUUAGACAAGAAAGAUUAAACUAUCUUAACAAAUACUAUGUAAAUAGACCAAAUAUAUACAAAUUCCAGCAACUCUUUAGCUCAAAACGUAUUAGUGUUCUCAAAACAUUGUGUAAGUUUAUAUCAAUUAUUAACAAACAAUUUUGUGCUUCUUGACUUGCGUGUAAUUUUAACUGUUUUUAAUAUUUAG